This 395-nucleotide transfer-messenger RNA is filed under the name Saprospiraceae. RNAcentral describes it as "UBA2329 sp002344975 Standard tmRNA". It matches the Rfam family "transfer-messenger RNA". From Rfam's summary of the family: Bacterial tmRNA, also known as 10Sa RNA or SsrA, is named for its dual tRNA and mRNA-like properties. Its role is to liberate the mRNA from a stalled ribosome. RNAcentral also lists the same sequence under 1 other name. Lineage: Bacteria; Pseudomonadati; Bacteroidota; Saprospiria; Saprospirales. The record is from RNAcentral.
GGGGACGUAUUGGCAUCGACAGGAGAGUGAGCUGGUCAGUAAGCAUGCCGGGGCAGGAUUGUUUACCCCGUUAACAAAUAGCGAUCAACCAUAUUUGGCGACUACAAGCUCGCUAUGGCUGCCUAAUUCUAGGAAUUAGCGCACCAUUGUAUGACGAUGCCUGCUCUACGUGAGCACCCGCCUUUGCCGAACUGGCCCGCGUCUCAUACAUCAUAACCGUUUCGGCUGGAAAACUGCAUUGGCCCGGUGCAGGUUUCGAGAUUCCGGGCUGGAUUGGCGGAAUGGGUUGGUGAACUGACCUCCCCGACAAUUGAGAUUCAAACAGAUCACUAAGCAUGUAGAAGGCUUUCUGGUGCUUUCUCUGGACGCGAGUUCGACUCUCGCCGUCUCCACAA